Molecule: ribosomal RNA, 253 nt
Filed under: uncultured bacterium
Lineage: Bacteria
Description: partial 16S ribosomal RNA
Rfam family: Bacterial small subunit ribosomal RNA
Source: RNAcentral
GACAGAGGUGGCAAGCGUUGUUCGGAUUUACUGGGCGUAAAGAGAGCGUAGGCGGCCGUGUAUGUCGGGUGUGAAAUCUCUCGGCUUAACCGAGAAACUGCAUUUGAAACUGCACGGCUAGAGGACAGGAGGGGGAAGUGGAAUUCCCGGUGUAGCGGUGAAAUGCGUAGAUAUCAGGAAGAACACCCGUGGCGAAGGCGGUUCUCUGGGACGGUACUGACGCUGAGACGCGAAAGCGUGGGGAGCGAACAGG